GCCCCAGUGGCUCAAGUGGAUAGAGCAAGGCACUCCUAACGCCUAGGCUGGGGGUUCGAGUCCCUCCUGGGGCA
RNAcentral lists this transfer RNA (74 nucleotides) under Chloroflexota bacterium. RNAcentral describes it as "Chloroflexi bacterium (anaerobic digester metagenome) tRNA-Arg". It matches the Rfam family "tRNA". Rfam says of the family: Transfer RNA (tRNA) molecules are approximately 80 nucleotides in length. Their secondary structure includes four short double-helical elements and three loops (D, anti-codon, and T loops). The record is from RNAcentral. Lineage: Bacteria; Bacillati; Chloroflexota.